This 527-nucleotide ribosomal RNA is filed under the name Melanohalea subelegantula. RNAcentral's name for it is "eukaryotic LSU rRNA". It matches the Rfam family "Eukaryotic large subunit ribosomal RNA", at positions 112 to 650 of the family's 3401-position model. Lineage: Eukaryota; Fungi; Ascomycota; Lecanoromycetes; Lecanorales; Parmeliaceae. The record is from RNAcentral.
AAUUUGAAAUCUGGCCCCUUCGGGGUCCGAGUUGUAAUUUGUAGAGAGUGCUUCGGGUGAGACUGCGGUCUAAGUCCAUUGGAACAUGGCGUCCCAGAGGGUGAGAAUCCCGUAUGUGACCGCGGCUCGAGCCCAUGUGAAGCCUCUUCGACGAGUCGAGUUGUUUGGGAAUGCAGCUCUAAAUGGGUGGUAAAUUUCAUCUAAAGCUAAAUACUGGCUGGAGACCGAUAGCGCACAAGUAGAGUGAUCGAAAGAUGAAAAGCACUUUGGAAAGAGGGUUAAACAGUACGUGAAAUUGUUGAAAGGGAAGCGCUGGCAACCAGACCUGUCCGUAGGCGAUCACCCGUUGUUCUCAGCGGUGCACUCGUUCUGCGAUCAGGCCAGCAUCGGUUCGGGCGGGCGGAUAAAGGUCUUGGGAAUGUAGCUUCCCUCUCGGGGGAGUCUUAUAGCCCUCGAUGCAAUGCGCCCAGCCGGGACCGAGGACCGCGCUUCGGCUAGGAUGCUGGCGUAAUGGUUGUCAGCGACCC